UGCCAGCAGCCGCGGUAAUAUAUACGGGUCAAGCGUUGUCCGGAUUUAUUGGGCGUAAAGAGUUCGUAGGUGGUUGAAAAAGUUAGUGGUGAAAUCCCAGAGCUUAACUCUGGAACUGCCAUUAAAACUUUUCAGCUAGAGUAUGACAGAGGAAAGCAGAAUUUCUAGUGUAGAGGUGAAAUUCGUAGAUAUUAGAAAGAACACCAAUUGCGAAGGCAGCUUUCUGGAUCAUUACUGACACUGAGGUGCGAAAGCAUGGGUAGCGAAGAGGAUUAGAUA
Molecule: ribosomal RNA, 279 nt
Filed under: uncultured bacterium
Lineage: Bacteria
Description: partial 16S ribosomal RNA
Rfam family: Bacterial small subunit ribosomal RNA
Source: RNAcentral